RNAcentral lists this ribosomal RNA (253 nucleotides) under uncultured bacterium. Its description in RNAcentral is "partial 16S ribosomal RNA". It matches the Rfam family "Bacterial small subunit ribosomal RNA", at positions 524 to 776 of the family's 1533-position model. The record is from RNAcentral.
UACAGAGGGGGCGAGCGUUGUUCGGAAUUACUGGGCGUAAAGGGCGCGUAGGCGGCCUUCUAAGUCGAACGUGAAAUCCCCGGGCUCAACCCGGGAACUGCGUCCGAUACUGGAAGGCUUGAAUCCGGGAGAGGGAUGCGGAAUUCCAGGUGUAGCGGUGAAAUGCGCAGAUAUCAGGAGGAACACCGAUGGCGAAGGCAGGUCUCUGGGCCACUACUGACGCUGAGAAGCGAAAGCAUGGGGAGCGAACAGG